Molecule: long non-coding RNA, 2861 nt
Organism: Oncorhynchus keta (chum salmon)
Lineage: Eukaryota; Metazoa; Chordata; Actinopteri; Salmoniformes; Salmonidae
Exons: 2
Source: RefSeq, a predicted model, not a curated record
UCCUCAGCUCUCCAAAAUUGCUGCCUCUCUUCCCCUCACCUUCCUGACUGACCUCCCAGCCUCCUAGCAGUGUGACCAGAGACAGAGGGAUGUGUCCCAAAUGGCACCCUAUUCCCUAUAUAGUGCACUACUUUAGACUAUGGGCCCCUCCUCUCUAUGAGCCCCUCCUCUCUAUGGGCCCCUCCUCUCUAUGAGCCCCUCCUCUCUAUGAGCCCCUCCUCUCUAUGGGCCCCUCCUCUCUAUGAGCCCCUCCUCUCUAUGAGCCCCUCCUCUCUAUGGGCCACUCCUCCCUAUGGGCCCCUCCUCUCUAUGGGCCCCUCCUCCCUAUGGGCCCCUCCUUCCUAUGGGCCCCUCCUCCCUAUGGGUCCCUCCUCCCUAUGGGCCCCUCCUCCCUAUGGGCCCCUCCUCCCUAUGAGCCCCUCCUCCCUAUGGGCCCCUCCUCCCUAUGGGCCCCUCCUCCCUAUGGGCCCCACCUCCCUAUGGGCCCCUCCUCCCUAUGAGCCUCUCCUCCCUAUGGGCCCCUCCUCCCUAUGAGCCCCUCCCCCCUAUGGGCCCCUUCUAACCCUAUGGGCCCCUCCUAACCUGACUGGGUUACCAGGUGUCCUAACCCAGUUGUUUAAUGUUACCAGGUGCCCUAACACAGCUGUAUUGGGUUACCAGCUGUCCUAACCCAGCUGUUUUAGGUUACCAGGUGUCCUAACCUAGCUGUAUUGGGUUACCAGGUGUCCUAACCUAGCUGUAUUGGGUUACCAGGUGUCCUAACCUAGCUGUAUUGGGUUACCAGGUGUCCUAACCCAGCUGUAUUGGGUUACCAGGUGUCCUAACCCAGCUGUAUUGGGUUACCAGGUGUCCUAACACAGCUGUUUUAGGUUGCCAGGUGUCCUAACCCAGCUGUAUUGGGUUACCAGGUGCCCUAACAUAGCUGUAUUGGGUUACCAGGUGCCCUAACCCAGCUGUAUUGGGUUACCAGGUGCCCUAACAUAGCUGUAUUGGGUUACCAGGUGUUCUAAACCAGUUGUUUAAUGUUACCAGGUGCCCUAACACAGCUGUCCUAACCCAGCUGUAUUGGGUUACCAGGUGUUCUAAACCAGUUGUUUAAUGUUACCAGGUGCCCUAACACAGCUGUCCUAACCCAGCUGUAUUGGGUUACCAGGUGCCCUAACCCAGCUGUAUUGGGUUACCAGGUGCCUGUGGUGCUAGAAUGGUUGUCGUGCCUCAGUGCUGACAGACUGGUGCUAACACAGGUACAGUGGACUGAGUCCCUAGGUUGAGACCAUGCCUCUACUCUUCACAGUGUUCAACUGACAACACAUUGGGGUGCGUCCCAAAUGACACCCUAUUCCGUACACAGUACACUACUGGACCCUGGUCAAAAGUAGGGCACUAUUUAGGUAACAGGGUGCUAUAUUUUGAUUUGGGAUGCAGCCAUUAACUGAUAAAAAAAAUGUUGAUGUUCUCUGAAGUGGUUGACUAACUAACGGUUGCUGAUAAUCGAUGGUUUGAAAUAGUUGGAAGUGGAUCCAAACUUUACUUGUCUGUGGAAAUCAUAGAGUUGGAUAGAGGGCUCAUCUUCACAUCUGUUACAUAAAGGAUACUGUGACAGCAUGGGCAGCGCCAUUGAGGUCUUUCUACAUUUUAGAGUAGUUUCUACUACUACUUUUUCUAUGAGUCAGUGAACAAACUGAAAGGGUGCGUACUGCCCCCUGGAGGGUGUUGUCUGAACAGGUAUAAAGACAAGGUUGGUGAUUUACUGCCCCCCUGGAGGGUGUUGUCUGAACAGGUAUAAAGACAAGGUUGGUGAUUUACUGGCACCUGCAGUUAUGUAAUGUUAGUAUAGUAUAAUUCAUUGGCUGAUCAGUCCUACUGACCUGGAUGGAAUUCGGUAAUCCUUUUCUAACCCAUAGCAAGUCCCAGCCAGUUGACUACUUCAAAAUGGUGGAAGUCCUGGGCUCUGCCCAUGCUACAACAGGCUUUGUGUCGCUAGAGCUGUCUAUCCAAGUCUAUGGUGGAAAUUCCGCCUGUUUCUGCUGUGGUAGUCCCAAAUGGCACCCUAUUCCCAAUGUAGUGCAGUGCUUUGAUCAGAGACCAUAGGUUCACCUCCAUAGGUCAAUAGCUAGUGCACCAUAUAGGGAACAGGGUUUCAUUUGGGACACAAUAUGAUUCUGUACAAUACUGUAUCAAGCCUAGUCUAGCCAACUUUACAGUGAAGAUUGUAAUUACAAGUGAUGAAAAAAUAUAAAUACUAAAUAUAAUGUGCUAGUGAAGAUAAUAUUUUUUUUUAUUUUCUGUCAAAUUGAUGCAUAUAUAUAUAUAUAUAUAUAUAUAUAUAUAUAUAUAUAUUAGAUAUAUAUUUAUCUCAGAAUUGUUUUUCUGUGUGUAUAUAUUCAUGGCCUUUUCUGCUGUUAAGGAAAUCAAUGAACAAAUCGAUGUAAACGUAGUUAGAUAAAGUAGUUAGAUGAUGUAGUUAGAUAACGUAGUUAGAUAACGUAGUUAGAUGAUGUAGUUAGAUUAUGUAGUUAGAUGAUGUAGUUAGAUAACGUAGUUAGAUGAUGUAGUUAGAUGAUGUAGUUAGAUGAUGUAGUUAGAUGAUGUAGUUAGAUGAUGUAGUUAGAUAACGUAGUUAGAUGAUGUAGUUAGAUGAUGUAGUUAGAUAAUGUAGUUAGAUGAUGUAGUUAGAUGAUGUAGUUAGAUGACGUAGUUAGAUGUUAGAUAACAUAGUUAAAUGAUGUAGUUAGAUAACGUAGUUAGAUGAUGUUGUUCGGUAUUGUACAAAAGAAAAGAGUAGAGCCGAACGAGGAGAACAGAUUGUGUGUCGUCAAACUUAAAAAAAAACGGGUUUUUAAACAUGUUUUCUUUCUCAA